RNAcentral lists this ribosomal RNA (493 nucleotides) under uncultured bacterium. Its description in RNAcentral is "partial 16S ribosomal RNA". It matches the Rfam family "Bacterial small subunit ribosomal RNA", at positions 28 to 506 of the family's 1533-position model. The record is from RNAcentral.
GACGAACGCUGGCGGCGCGCCUAACACAUGCAAGUCGAACGGAAAGGCCUGCUUUCCCUUGUGGAUUGCGGGUACUCGAGUGGCGAACGGGUGAGUAACACGUGAGUGAUCUGCCCCCAACUUGGGUCUAAGCCUGGGAAACUGUGUCUCAUUCUCGAUAGGACUGCAGGGUGGAGCCUGUCUUGGAAAACGAUUUUCUAGUGUUUGGGGAUGGGCGCGCGGCCUAUCAGCUGGUUGGUGGGGUAAUGGCCUACCAAGGCGGCGGCGGGUAGCCGGCCUGAGAGGGUGGACGGGCACAUUGGGACUGAUAGACGGCCCAGAGGGCGGCGGGAGUCAGGAGUAGGGAAUAUUGGACGAUGGGCGGAAGCCGGAUGCAGCGACGCCGGGUGAGGGAGGACGGCCUGCGGGUUGUAAUCUCCGUGCGACCGCGAGGAAGCCACCUGGUUGGGAGGGUGGUGACGGUAGUGGUAGAAGAAGCACCGGCUAACUACUG